AUAUUCCCUUUCAUUCCCACAGCUAGUGGCCGUUGCCGGCGAGGUCGCCAUAGAGACCUCCUCUUUCUCCUCCUCCUCUUCCACCUUCCCUGACUGGGAGAUGCUCGAUCGCUCCGUGUUCUGCAGGGAGGACGACUCCUUCCCUUGCGACGACCCGACCACGGCGCGCGGCACCAACUCCAGGGGCCACGCCGUCCGCGUCUGCUUCUGCCUCCACGUAUCGCCGCGGCCGUCCAAGAUCCACAUGGAGUGGCCCGCCAGCAUAGGGGAUUACGAUUGGGCACCACAACGUCAUGCUCCUCCAGAUGGGCUACCUCACCACCACCUCCGGCUCCAUGAUGCUCAACUACUUCCUCUACCGAAGAGGCGGCUACCACCGACCAUCGUUGUAUCGGCUGCCCCCUCUCGCCGGCACCUUUGCCGACCUCGAGGCUAG
RNAcentral lists this long non-coding RNA (436 nucleotides) under Oryza sativa Indica Group (long-grained rice). Its description in RNAcentral is "lncRNA OsZS97_12G015000". Lineage: Eukaryota; Viridiplantae; Streptophyta; Magnoliopsida; Poales; Poaceae. The record is from RNAcentral.